UCCGUAGGGUGAAACCUGCGGAGGGAUCAUUA
RNAcentral lists this ribosomal RNA (32 nucleotides) under Beauveria bassiana. RNAcentral's name for it is "partial 18S ribosomal RNA". Lineage: Eukaryota; Fungi; Ascomycota; Sordariomycetes; Hypocreales; Cordycipitaceae. The record is from RNAcentral.